AAAAAGACAAACGCUGGUUUUCAUAUCUAACGUUUGAUCGUCCGUCUUAUUUAAAAAAAUUAUAAAAAAAAUUAAAAAGACAAGACACGCAUAAAAUAUUAAUCAUGUUUUAUCAUCUAACAAUAAUAAAAUUACGAAUUAUAAAAAAAUUUCAUAUAAGACGGACCGUCAAAGUUGGACACGGAAACCCAGGGUUUGCCUUUUU
Molecule: non-coding RNA, 205 nt
Organism: Oryza barthii
Lineage: Eukaryota; Viridiplantae; Streptophyta; Magnoliopsida; Poales; Poaceae
Source: Rfam